CCCUUAGAUGUCCUGGGCCGCACGCGUGCUACACUGACAUGUUCAACAAGCCUCCUAGUUCGACAGGAUUUGGGAAAUCUUUGAACGCAUGUCGUGAUAGGGAUAGAUCAUUGCAAUUAUUGAUCUUGAACGAGGAAUUCCUAGUAAACGCGAGUCAUCAGCUCGCAUUGAUUACGUCCCUGCCCUUUGUACACACCGCCCGUCGCACCUACCGAUUGAAUGUUUCGGUGAAGAUUCCGGAUAGGACUUUUUUGAUUUAUUUCAAUUCUGUCUUAAAAGCUAUCUAAACCUCAACAUUUAGAGGAAGGUGAAGUCGUAACA
Molecule: ribosomal RNA, 321 nt
Filed under: uncultured eukaryote
Lineage: Eukaryota
Description: partial 18S ribosomal RNA
Rfam family: Eukaryotic small subunit ribosomal RNA
Source: RNAcentral